AUGAGAAUCUGUUAGUGGAUGAUCCUCCUUAUGGGCUGGAAAUGUGUGUUUGCAGCUUGGAUGGUCCUCCUUAUGGGCAACCGCUGCUUUGUUGAAUGAGAAUCUGUUAGUGGGAGUUUGAACACCUGCGUUGAACAUUUCUUUAAAUGCUCCAUGAUUGAACACAUGGUAAAUUUAUUUCAUUUCAAUGUUGGUUUCAAUUGUACAGGUGACUGCAUUUUGGUAUUCUGUAUUUUGGUGUUUUUGGAGCUUUUUGGAGGAGUUGCAUAUUGUUAUUUUAUCUGCAGGUUGUUUUUAUAUACUGUUAGACUGUUAGUGGGAGUUUGAACACCUGUGUUUCAUGCAUAUUCAUAUCCAUUGAAUUGUGUGGUAUGUAUGUAAACUUUCCCAAACAUAUUAGCUCAAUUCUUAUUGAUGUUGGGGCUUUCUCUGUUCACUUCAGUUAGUAACACUUUUUCCAGCUUCCUGGAAUCAAUAUGCAGGUGAGGGUGGCGAGAUUACCACAACCCAUAUGCUUCUCGGUAUAUGGCAGAGAAGGAUUCAGCAGGCCACAAAAUACUUGCUUCCCUAGGCUUUGAUGAUGCCAAAGCCAGGGAGCUUGCAAAAUAUGCAAACGAUGAGUUUAGCUUGAGCUACAGGUAGCAAGAAAGAUUUGCUCUGUAUUUAUUUGUUGUAUCUUUAAAGUUGAUGUCUUUGAACUUCAUUCAUUGUUCUUUUCAUUCGCUACAAAUUUUCCUUUCUUUCUGUAUGAUGGUGCAAGAUUUGAAUUGCUAUUCUGUAUUGUUGUUCGUUUAAAAAAUGUCGAGUAUAUCUUUAUUAUA
Phalaenopsis equestris is the source of this 821-nucleotide long non-coding RNA. RefSeq lists it as uncharacterized. The transcript has 2 exons. The record is from RefSeq and is a predicted model, not a curated record. Lineage: Eukaryota; Viridiplantae; Streptophyta; Magnoliopsida; Asparagales; Orchidaceae.